UCGGCGGGAGCAACAGCUGCCGUCGGGCGGUAGAGGUAACACUUUCACGCGCCGCAUGUCUGAAUCCUUUUUUUACGAGCACCUUUCGUUCUCCUUCGGCGGGGCAACCUGCCGUUGGAACCUAUCAAAACCUUUUUUUUGCAUCUAGCAUUACCUGUUCUGAUACAAACAAUCGUUACAACUUUCAACAAUGGAUCUCUUGGCUCUGGCAUCGAUGAAGAACGCAGCGAAAUGCGAUAAGUAGUGUGAAUUGCAGAAUUCAGUGAAUCAUCGAAUCUUUGAACGCACAUUGCGCCCCUUGGUAUUCCAUGGGGCAUGCCUGUUCGAGCGUCAUCUACACCCUCAAGCUCUGCUUGGUGUUGGGCGUCUGUCCCGCCUCUGCGCGCGGACUCGCCCCAAAUUCAUUGGCAGCGGUCCUUGCCUCCUCUCGCGCAGCACAUUGCGCUUCUCGAGGGGCGCGGCCCGCGUCCACGAAGCAACAUUACCGUCUUUGACCUCGGAUCAGGUAGGGAUACCCGCUGAACUUAAGCAUAUC
RNAcentral lists this ribosomal RNA (535 nucleotides) under Paraconiothyrium brasiliense. RNAcentral describes it as "eukaryotic LSU rRNA". The stretch from base 180 to 333 matches the Rfam family "5.8S ribosomal RNA". Lineage: Eukaryota; Fungi; Ascomycota; Dothideomycetes; Pleosporales; Didymosphaeriaceae. The record is from RNAcentral.